AAAAGCAGAAAUCUCCCUUUGCUUCUGUUCCCAGAGACAACCAUGAUCUCACCCUGAUUGCAGAGUUCUCAGAAUGCCACAAGUUCAGUAGGAACCUGCCAAAGGUCUGAGCGAGGGAGAGAUGCAGUCAGCGUUGGGCUUACACUUUAUCCUGCCCUUCUCUUUUCAGAGGGUUGCUUUUACCCAAAGCAGUGGAAGAUCGUGGUGUGCAAAGAACAGACAUCGGAAACCUUGGAAGUGGGAUUUAUUUCAGUGAUUUGCUCAGGAAUAUUCCCUCAGAUUUUGAGGCAAUAAAGAAAGCAAGUGAAUGGGUAAGAAGAACUGAAGGACAGUGCCCAUCUAUCUGCCCAUGGCUUGAACUGGGGAAAGACUGGGACUCUGCCACCAAGCAGUUGCUGGGACUCAGCCCACAGACACUGUGUCCCCUCUUCAUAGAGUCCUUCAUUACAGUCAAGGCUAAAUCAAAUGAAACUGAAUUUUAAACUUUUUGCAUGCUUCUAUGUAGAAAAUAAUCAAAUGAUAAUAGAUACUUAUAAUGAAACUUCAUUAAGGUUUUAUUCAGUGUAGAAAUUAGUGUCUUUAAAAAUAAAGUAAGUGGAAGUAGAAUUACUUUAAACAACUAACAAGCAAUAAUAAAAUGAAACUUAAAAUAUUUCA
Non-coding RNA from Chlorocebus sabaeus (green monkey), 657 nucleotides. The record is from RefSeq and is a predicted model, not a curated record. Lineage: Eukaryota; Metazoa; Chordata; Mammalia; Primates; Cercopithecidae.